ACGGGUGAGUAACACGUGAGCAACCUGCCUUUGGCUUUGGGAUAACCCUCGGAAACGGGGGCUAAUACCGAAUAUUCAUGGUGCCCGGCAUCGGGUGUUGUGGAAAGUUUUUCGGCCAGGGAUGGGCUCGCGGCCUAUCAGCUUGUUGGUGGGGUGAUGGCCUACCAAGGCGACGACGGGUAGCCGGCCUGAGAGGGCGACCGGCCACACUGGGACUGAGACACGGCCCAGACUCCUACGGGAGGCAGCAGUGGGGAAUAUUGCACAAUGGGCGGAAGCCUGAUGCAGCGACGCCGCGUGAGGGAUGACGGCCUUCGGGUUGUAAACCUCUUUCAGCAGGGACGAAGCGUAAGUGACGGUACCUGCAGAAGAAGCGCCGGCCAACUACGUGCCAGCAGCCGCGGUAAGACGUAGGGCGCAAGCGUUGUCCGGAUUUAUUGGGCGUAAAGAGCUCGUAGGCGGCUUGUUGCGUCGACCGUGAAAACCUGUGGCUCAACUACAGGCUUGCGGUCGAUACGGGCGGGCUGGAGUUCGGUAGGGGAGACUGGAAUUCCUGGUGUAGCGGUGAAAUGCGCAGA
This 578-nucleotide ribosomal RNA is filed under the name uncultured bacterium. RNAcentral describes it as "bacterial SSU rRNA". It matches the Rfam family "Bacterial small subunit ribosomal RNA", at positions 102 to 694 of the family's 1533-position model. The record is from RNAcentral.